Molecule: ribosomal RNA, 250 nt
Filed under: uncultured bacterium
Lineage: Bacteria
Description: partial 16S ribosomal RNA
Rfam family: Bacterial small subunit ribosomal RNA
Source: RNAcentral
GACGAACCGUGCAAACGUUGUUCGGAUUCACUGGGCUUAAAGGGCGCGUAGGCGGCUUGCCAAGUCAGGGGUGAAAUCGUUCGGCUCAACCGGACAAUUGCUUCUGAUACUGGUGAGCUGGAGUGAGGUAGGGGCAGAUGGAACUUCCGGUGGAGCGGUGAAAUGCGUAGAUAUCGGAAGGAACGCCGGUGGCGAAAGCGAUCUGCUGGACCUCGUCUGACGCUGAGGCGCGAAAGCCAGGGGAGCAAAC